Molecule: long non-coding RNA, 486 nt
Filed under: Homo sapiens (human)
Lineage: Eukaryota; Metazoa; Chordata; Mammalia; Primates; Hominidae
Description: HSALNT0223697
Source: RNAcentral
GCUUCUCUGCUCUUUGGCUGAGAUCAAGUGUGUACUUAUCAGUCCAGGACCAGCCCCAGCCAGUGGGUAGUCAUGAGGAAGUAUGAUUAGACAAAGAGGAUGUGAUCUAAUGGAAAGAAACUGAGGGGAACUCAGCAAGUCCUGUUUGUUCAGAUUCUUCUUGGUGUCUCUUCAGGAUUAGGAUGUUCCUAAUGCCCCUUUCCUCUGCACAUAGGAAGGGUACUUCUGGAGUGAGGGUUUUAUGAUUCACUCCAAAGAAGGGCAAGAGGGAGGAAAGGUUAAUUAGGAAUCAAAUCUAAGAGUUUGAUGAUUAAAUGGAUGUUGAGAAACAUGGACCACAGAAGAAUUUAGGGAUGACAGCUGGCUGGGAGAAGGAAAAGGAAAGGGAACUAAAAGGACUAAGGUAUACUGAGAGAUGCUGAGACCUAUUUGGGUUCUUCUCUGAGGCCUGGAAACAAGGUCCUCCUUCCUUGUGCUUGUGGCUGC